This 107-nucleotide small nucleolar RNA is filed under the name Ricinus communis (castor bean). Its description in RNAcentral is "Plant small nucleolar RNA R71". It matches the Rfam family "Plant small nucleolar RNA R71". Rfam says of the family: R71 is a member of the C/D box family of snoRNAs containing the C (UGAUGA) and D (CUGA) box motifs. Multiple nearly identical copies of this snoRNA have been identified in Arabidopsis, and it is thought to function as a 2'-O-ribose methylation guide for 18S ribosomal RNA. Lineage: Eukaryota; Viridiplantae; Streptophyta; Magnoliopsida; Malpighiales; Euphorbiaceae. The record is from Rfam by way of RNAcentral.
AAUCCGUGGUACGGGCAACAUCGAAGCAAGUCCUUGUACCUCUCCCAAGCAUCAUAUAUACUCUCGUCUUUGAACUGCACAAAAGAAGAUAUGUCAUUUCUCAAUUU